Molecule: ribosomal RNA, 253 nt
Filed under: uncultured bacterium
Lineage: Bacteria
Description: partial 16S ribosomal RNA
Rfam family: Bacterial small subunit ribosomal RNA
Source: RNAcentral
UACGAAGGGUGCAAGCGUUACUCGGAAUUACUGGGCGUAAAGGGUGCGUAGGUGGUUUGUUAAGUCUGCUGUGAAAUCCCCGGGCUCAACCUGGGAAUGGCAGUGGAUACUGGCAAGCUAGAGUGCGGUAGAGGGUAGUGGAAUUCCCGGUGUAGCGGUGAAAUGCGCAGAGAUCGGGAGGAACACCCGUAGCGAAGGCGGCGCUCUGGGCCGGUACUGACGCUGAGGAGCGAAAGCGUGGGGAGCAAACAGG